Molecule: long non-coding RNA, 1113 nt
Filed under: Homo sapiens (human)
Lineage: Eukaryota; Metazoa; Chordata; Mammalia; Primates; Hominidae
Description: HSALNT0352085
Source: RNAcentral
AGCAGGAAGAAACCCCAGGAGGAAGAAACCUCAGACAGAUCGCCGGGGAGGCAGCGCGGGAUCCCAGCCUCAGGCGUGCGCGGACGGUGUGCGGACAGAGUCUAGCUUUGUACCAGGCUGCAGUGCAGUAGUGCCAUCUCAGCUCACUGCAACCUCUGCCUCCUGGGUUCAAGCGAUUGUCCUGCCUCAGCCUCCCGAGUAGCUGGGAUUACAGGCACAUGCCACCACACCCAGCUAAUGUUUGUAUUUUUAGUAGAUACGGGGUUUCAUCAUGUUGCCCAGGAUGGUCUUAAUUUCCUGACCUCGUGAUCCGCCCAUCUCGGCCUCCCAAAAUGCUGGGAUUACAGGCAUGAGCCACCAGAACCGGACAUGCUUUCCUUAAAAGCUAAAUAUUUUAGGCUUGUGUGCCAUUAGGCUCUGUUACAACUACUUAAUUCUGCUUUUGUAAUUCUAUAGCACCCAUUGAUAAUACAUAAACAAAUGAGCAUGAAUGUGUCUCAGUAAAAAUUUGUUCACAUAAACAGGCAGUCCACCCAUGAAGCUAUAGCUUGCUGACCCCUUGUUUAAACAAUCAAUUGAAUUCAAACAGAAAUAAAAGGAUCUUAUAUAUUUAACCAUGUUGAUACCAUUUCCAGUGCUUUUCAUUCUUCUAUGUAGAUCCAAAUUUCCUUUUGAUAUUAUUUUACUUCUGCCUGAAACUUUUUCUUUAACAUUUUUUAUAGUGUUGUUUUACUGGUGAUGAUUUCUUUCAGGUUCUAAGUGCCUGAAAAAAUCUUUAUUUCACCUACAUCCUGAAAGAUAGUUUCUCUGAGUCUACAAUUCCCAGCUGACAAUGUUUAUCUUCCAGUACUUUAAAGAUGUUGCUUCAUUAUCUUCUAAUUUUCUUUGUUUCUAAUAAAAUGUUUGCUGGCAUUUUUUGUUCCUCUGUGCAAACUGUGUUUUUGUCAUUGGCCACUUUGAGAAUUUUUCUUUAUCACUAGUUUUAAGCAAUUUUAUUUUAGUGUAUUUUGUGCACAAGACAAGGAUGCCCUCUCUCACCACUCCUGUUCAACAUAGUAUUGGAAGUCCUUGCCAAAACAGUUAGGCAAGAGAAAGAAAUAAAGGGUACCCAAA